RNAcentral lists this ribosomal RNA (821 nucleotides) under uncultured Anaerolineae bacterium. RNAcentral describes it as "bacterial SSU rRNA". It matches the Rfam family "Bacterial small subunit ribosomal RNA", at positions 8 to 846 of the family's 1533-position model. The record is from RNAcentral. Lineage: Bacteria; Bacillati; Chloroflexota; Anaerolineae.
AGGGUUUGAUCAUGGCUCAGGAUAAACGCUGGCGGCGUGCUUCAGGCAUGCAAGUCGAACGAGUGUCCACCUUCGGGUGGUCUACUAGUGGCGGACGGGUGAGUAACGCGUUAGCAACCUGCCCAGAAGUGGGGAAUAACUAACCGAAAGGUUAGCUAAUACCGCAUGUGAUAGCUGGUUCUUGGACCGGUUAUGAAAGGCUUCGGUCGCUUCUGGAGGGGCUUGCGUCAGAUUAGCUAGUUGGUGGGGUAAUGGCCUACCAAGGCGACGAUCUGUAGCUGGUCUGAGAGGAUGGUCAGCCACACGGGGACUGAGAUACGGCCCCGACUCCUACGGGAGGCAGCAGCUAGGAAUCUUGGGAAUGGGCGAAAGCCUGACCCAGCAACGCCGCGUGGGCGAUGAAGGCCUUCGGGUCGUAAAGCCCUUUUUCAGGGGACGAUGAUGACGGUACCCUGAGAAUAAGCCACGGCUAACUACGUGCCAGCAGCCGCGGUAAUACGUAGGUGGCAAGCGUUGUCCGGAUUUACUGGGCGUAAAGGGCGUGCAGGCGGCUUGUUAAGUGCAGGGUGAAAGCUCCCGGCUCAACUGGGAGAGGUCCUUGCAUACUGGCGAACUCGAGGGAGGCAGAGGAAAGUGGAAUUCCCGGUGUAGUGGUGAUAUGCGUAGAUAUCGGGAGGAACACCUGUGGCGAAGGCGGCUUUCUGGGCCUUACCUGACGCUGAGACGCGAAAGCGUGGGGAGCGAACCGGAUUAGAUACCCGGGUAGUCCACGCCGUAAACUAUGGACACUAGGUGGUGGGGGGGGUAUCGACCCCCUCCGU